GCCUUGCAAAGUUAGAUCAUAAACCUUCGUUAAUGAAGGUGGAGGGGACGUCGGUAAAUCACCUUCAUUAGAUUGUGUUUGGGACUGGUCAGACAUGGGUACCACAAUUCCUGCUAGCUACUUCAUAAGGAAAAAGGAUGUUUUCCCAGAAGGUAGUUCUUAGUUGUUCCCAGAGUGCCCUGGUCAAAUCCCCGGGUGUCUGAAAGAGAGUGUUUCUGGGUAAGGAGGAGGCGUGGUUGGAGAGGGUCCCACAGUUGGAGAGGAAAGGGAAAUGGACGUUCAAAGAGGGGAAGGCGAAACAGCUGUUAAGAGGCGACCGGUGGUAAAGCUGGAGUGCGAACAGAGGCUUGCAUGGGCCUCUAGCCUAGGGUGGCCUCAACACUGCCCUCUUCUGUCAGUUUCUCAAGUACUGGGAUCACUGACAUGGCAACCACACCCAGAGAGAUUAACAGUUUUAUAAGCUCUUGCCUGUGCUUCAAGAUGUGAGACAUCCUCUCCUCCUGUGCCUGUCACCAAUGUUUUCUGUCUCUACCAUGAUGAAUUCUUCUCCCUCUGGAACUUUGUAAGCCAAAUAAACCCUUCUUUCUUU
Molecule: non-coding RNA, 589 nt
Organism: Rattus norvegicus (Norway rat)
Lineage: Eukaryota; Metazoa; Chordata; Mammalia; Rodentia; Muridae
Source: RefSeq, a predicted model, not a curated record